RNAcentral lists this ribosomal RNA (458 nucleotides) under uncultured bacterium. RNAcentral's name for it is "SSU rRNA". It matches the Rfam family "Bacterial small subunit ribosomal RNA", at positions 26 to 517 of the family's 1533-position model. The record is from RNAcentral.
AGAAUCAACGCUGGCGGCGUGCCUAACACAUGCAAGUCGAACGAGAAAGUGGAGCAAUCCACAAGUAAAGUGGCGCACGGGUGAGUAACACGUGACUAACCUACCCUUGAGUGGGGGAUAACCUAGAGAAAUCUGGGCUAAUACCGCAUAAUACCUUCGGGUCAAAGGAGCAAUUCGCUUAAGGAGGGGGUCGCGGCCGAUUAGUUAGUUGGCGGGGUAAUGGCCCACCAAGACUAUGAUCGGUAUCCGGCCUGAGAGGGCGCACGGACACACUGGAACUGAAACACGGUCCAGACUCCUACGGGAGGCAGCAGUGGGGAAUUUGCGCAAUGGGGGAAACCCUGACGCAGCAACGCCGCGUGGAGGAUGAAGCCCCUUGGGGCGUAAACUCCUUUCGAUCGGGACGAUAAUGACGGUACCGAGAGAAGAAGCCCCGGCUAACUUCGUGCCAGCAGCCG